Molecule: long non-coding RNA, 3623 nt
Organism: Eublepharis macularius
Lineage: Eukaryota; Metazoa; Chordata; Lepidosauria; Squamata; Eublepharidae
Exons: 4
Source: RefSeq, a predicted model, not a curated record
GGGCCACCUGACAUGUGACCUCUUUGGGGAACUGCCGGAACUGCGUUCCUGCGCAUUCCCCCUCGAAAUGAGCCCUGAUUAUACUAUAAACCAUAAUGAAGCUUCUACUGAGAACAAUAAUUGUUAUUGUGUUCAGAUAAUUUUUGUUGGUGAAAUUGUGGUGACGGAAGUCCAAGAAUUCUUAAUGCAGUAAUGUGGGUGGCUCUCAGAACGGUCCUUGUAAGUUCAGUAUAAUCGGUCUUAACUCCUCACUGAAUAACUUCUGCUUUGGUGUCUCUCUCUCUAGGUUCAUCAACAAGAUGGCAAGACACUGCUCCACAAUUGCAUCCGUACCAGCCACCUUCCCCACAAUUUCACCAACGGAAAUUUGUAGCAAAACGUCUUAUAUUUAUCAACUAUUUAUUAUGGGCUGACCUUUUGUAAUAUUUAUUGUAAUAUUUAUUCCAGUAUUUAUUAUAUUUUUCUUCUUGCAGUCUUGGUCAAUGGAGAUUAACACGUACCCAUGGAUAGAAAUGAAAGACCAUUCAUUGUAGAUUUGGGAAUGAAACCUCCAGUGAAAAAUCAUUGAACAAUUUCAGAGUAUGCUGGUGGCUGGCAAUAGUGACUAAUUGUAUUUCCUAUAGUAUUUAUCAAAUAUUCAUUGUUAGAUAUAUUUGAGCACCUUGCACUUUAAAAUUGUAAAAAGACUAAAAAUACUUUGUAAGUCUUAACAGACAACAAUUCCCUGCUGUAUAUAUCCUCAGGAAUGAGAAACUUUUAGUAAAAUUCUAAGAGUUACUCCCGUCUAAGCUCAUUGAAGUCUGGAUUAACUUUGCUUGGGAUUUCUCUGUUAUUUUAUUAACUUCUUUUCUAACAACUUAAGGAGGGUCAACUGCUCCCCCAGCCCAGUUACCAACAUGGCCAUCUGUUACUGCUAAUGAAGUGAUGUUUUUCAUGUGCCAUCUGUGUCAUACUUGAUUCUUAACAAGCUGGUUAAGUAGCCCUGUCCUAGUGGGCUAAAAUUUGGGCCCCUCUUUUUACAUAUAUACAUUCCUCCAGGAAAAUCUCCAAUACCUGGAAACAUUCGAUAACAGUCCCACCCUACAUGCUAUCUCUUAGUUUACUCAUUUCUUUAGGAAAGCUGUAAACUUAUUUACAUCUUAAGCCUUUGAAUUGGGUUGAAGAGCACGAGGUUUGUGGCUGGGAACAAACUGGGUUUAAAAGAGGUUCUUUGAGAUCAUUGUUUUUGUUCUUAUCAGCUAGCUGAGAGAUAUAUUUGUUUAGGUGGUUAUCUUUUUGCGGGCUUUAUGGGUCUCAAGGGGGCUUUUGACUCAAUCUGCUGAGCAAGACUGUGGGCUAAAUUAGCAACUGCCUCUAUUGACAGCUGUCUGUUGUGGCUUAUCUAUCUACUCCAUACAGAUCUCACUGCUCCGGCACAAUGUGGCCUUGAAGGCCAACAGUCUUGAUUGUUUAAUUUAGAUACAGGAGUGAGGCAAGGGUGCCUUUUAGCCCCUAUAUUGUUCAAUCUUUCUAAACAACCCGUCUUCAUUCUUUCCUGAGUCCGCUGACCCACCUAAGUGGCUAGCCGCAGCCUCCCAAUUCUUCUUUAUUCAGAUGACACGGUUCUUGUCUCCCAGAGCAGGAUGGGGCUUCUGGGAGCACUAAGAAUUUUUUCACAUUAUAGUUCGAAGGUGGGCUUGAAUAUUAAUUAGAAAAAGAAACCCCCUUCUUCAAUGGGCUCUUGGAUAGUCUUUUGCUCAAUCAGGUGAAGGAAUGUAGGUAUUUGUGUAUUCUUUUUAAACUCGAGUUAUCUUGGAAUAAGCCAGCAUCCAAUAAGGCCAAAUCCAGUGCAGGGGCAAUUUUAAUUUUUUUCUUGUUCUAAAGGUGGAUGUUCUGCUUCAGGAGGGGCUGCUGGGGGCUGCUGAGUUAACUCCGGCAGAUAACGAGAGCCAGCUUAUCAGAGGCAGGAUGCCAGAGCUGCAUGAACAGAGUCCGUAUCUUGCCCAAGAGUUGUCCAUCAAGCCUCAGGGAAUGCAGUGAAGCUAGCCUGAAGGGCCUCUCCCUCAUACUCUUACACGCUGCAAGUCCUACGUCACGCCUGCAACAGCUGUUCCAAUCUCCUCUGGUGCUGUUCCUCCUUCCUCUGCAGCGGAUUGCUGGUGCUGAGCUCUGAGGCAUGCUGGGCUGGGUCACCUGACCUGGGUCUAGGGAUGCCAGCCUCCAGGUGGUGGCUGGAGAUCUCGCAUAAUUACAACUGAUCUCCAGGUGAUAGAGAUCAGUUCCCCUGGAGAAAAUGGCUAAUUUGGAGGGUGGACGCUAUCUUCUUACUAUAUAAUUCACUUAGUGUCUUUCCGACGACUCACAGGUUUAUCUCUGCGCAGGCGCCCUGGCAGGAAUAAAAAGGCCAACUCGUCCCUGGAGGCUUCAUGCUGCUGCAGGAGGAGGUGGCAGGAGAACGGCUGGAAGGAGCCUUUUCUUGAGGCCAGUAAGGUGGAGCUCCCUCGGGAGCUGGAGUUAGCCCUGCCCUGCCCCGCCCAGCUCACUACCCCUCCUGCUGAAGGCUGCUCCGAGCCCUCCCGGCUCAGGCCAGCUGCUGCCACUCAGCCCCCUGGGCGGGAUACAAGCUCUACUCGCCCCCGAGAGGAAGGCAGCGGCGACCCCCAGGGCAGCCCCAUCGGGGGAGAGCUGGACUCUGGCAUUGCUAGAGCAACAGGAACCGGGCAUUGCUGGGAUUGACUUUCCCGGGGAUAGUCAACCAGUGGGAGGAAAGAGUGCCAAUUACGUCGGCUGUUGCUAGGCAGAUCUAGCCCGGGCCCAAGAAGGAAAAUCCCAGAAAACAUUCACAACAGAGUUUGCAGAACUCGUUUCUGCACCAGCCUGCCCCCCUCUCAAACGUUUGCAACCGCCCUUCAGAGGAGUCAUGUAGCAAAUCAGAAGGGAAGAGGAAACCUUUGCUUUCAACUACUCAGGAGAAGAAAUAGAAGUGGCCAUAGAUCCUCUCAUGGCAUGCGAGGAGGAGAUUUUAUUGCGUCUACAAGAACAGGAGGAUUUGCCUGGCUUUACCUUCCAAGAAGUUUAUUCUGUGUUAAGCAAGUGGGAUUCCUGUGGAGGCUUCGUACCAGACCUGUGUUUAUUAGAUAAAAAAAGUUGAGAUCUUCUAGUGGCUUUGUGCCUGAGAAGAUUUCCUUAUCUGUGCAGGAAAGAGGAUUGUAAAGACAACCUAAAGACUUCUCAUGUAUUAUUGUAUCUAAACCAGAGUGGAGUCCUGUGCAGCCUUCACGGCUGACAACAUUUCAAUGCAACUGACAGAAGCAGGAGUCUUGUGGCUUUCACAGGAAUUGAACCUGCGACCUCUGCAUCCAAAGCAGAACAAAUAACAGCUUGUCUGUAUAUGGAUGAGAGAAGGGGAGUCUGCCGAGUGCUUCACCAUGGAAUUGCCCACCCAGAGAUCUCAACUAACUAGUUGGAGGUGGUGUAAUCUAAGUGGGCAGAUUCUCCAAGGUGAUAACAGCAGUCUAGAAAAUCAUGUUGAAAAUGGAGUUGAAGCUGAAGAGCCUAAUGGGUUUUGCCAGCAUAUCGCACAACCCGUUUCACAAUGAACUUUUUCAAAGGCUCAGAUUCAACAAACCAUUCACUGUAAUAAA